This 30-nucleotide non-coding RNA is filed under the name Rattus norvegicus (Norway rat). Lineage: Eukaryota; Metazoa; Chordata; Mammalia; Rodentia; Muridae. The record is from RNAcentral.
UACCAUCUCAUGAAUAUGCAUGAUUAGGGU